GAAAAUUCAUCAAAAGGCUACUAAGGAUCAGAGUAAAUGAAAAGAGUAAUGCUAUAAUAUGUAACCUGACUCACUGCCACAUUAGAUGCUAAUCAUCAGCAGAGCUGGUGAACAGCAUUAUUCGAACGAAACACGUCCGCUAAGGUCCAUAGGCAUGAGUUGCUUUCCUGAUUCGAAUAUAGUGUGUUUAAAUGAAUAAACAGCACAGAAAGUCAAUCUAUUGAAAAGAAGAAUAAAAGCCAAUAUUCAUCAGACUGAAACUUAAAACAGGGGGAAAAAAAUACUAUGAAAACCAAUCACAGGAAAAGUAUAACAAUACGAAUUCCAGAAUUGCUGUGCCUCAUGCCACUCAGAUGUUGAAUGUGUCGAUGACAAUCAAACCCGGAUAAUUUUCACCUACAGACCACACAUAUCAGAUAUAAUAAAGCCAGAAAGUCCUCACAAUUUACAUUUGCACAAGGACGAGGGGUACCAGAAUUAGGGGACAAGCCCAAUAUCCUUGAAGAAAGAUCAUAAAAACAAUAACCAUCUUGAACCAAUUUCAUUUUCACUUACUGAAUAACAUUCUUAUAGAAAUUAUACAAUUAAUAGUUGAAUUCAUUCUCGUCCCAUGAGAUUGCUUGACUCACUCCUAUAUUUGGAUCAAGAAUAAUUCUUUCAAUAUAGUUAAAAUCUUCAAUUUAUGGCGAAAGAAUAGUGCUAUGUGUAAAAACAAAAAAUCAUCACCAUUUUGGAAGGAAAAUUCAUCAAAAGGCUACUAAGGAUCAGAGUAAAUGAAAAGAGUAAUGCUAUUAUAUGUAACCUGACUCACUGCCACAUUAGAUGCUAAUCAUCAGCAGAGCUGAUGAAUAGCAUUAUUCGAACGAAAUACGUCCGCUAAGGUCCAUAGGCAUGAGUUGCUUUCCUGAUUCGAAUAUAGUGUGUUUAAAUGAAUAAACAGCACAGAAAGUCAAUCUAUUGAAAAGAAGAAUAAAAGCCAAUAUUCAUCAGACUGAAACUUAAAACAGGGGGAAAAAAAUACUAUGAAAAC
RNAcentral lists this long non-coding RNA (1030 nucleotides) under Olea europaea (common olive). RNAcentral describes it as "long non-coding RNA (OEUR_LNC007444)". Lineage: Eukaryota; Viridiplantae; Streptophyta; Magnoliopsida; Lamiales; Oleaceae. The record is from RNAcentral.